Sebastes umbrosus (honeycomb rockfish) is the source of this 399-nucleotide long non-coding RNA. RefSeq lists it as uncharacterized. The transcript has 3 exons. The record is from RefSeq and is a predicted model, not a curated record. NCBI's taxonomy places the organism in Eukaryota, Metazoa, Chordata, Actinopteri, Perciformes, Sebastidae.
GUUGCUCUGGCUCUACCUGUUAGGCGUGGAGAGGAGGUUGUGUUGCUCUGGCUCUAUAUGUUUAGCGUGCAGAGGAGGUUGGUUUGCUCUGGCUCUUUCUGUUUGGCGUGCAGAGGAGGUUGUGUUGCUCUGGCUCUGCCUGUUUGGCGUGGAGAGGAGGUUGUGUUGCUCUGGCUCUAUCUGUUUGGCGUCAAGAGGAGGUUGUGUUGCUCUGGCUCUAUAUGUUUAGCGUGCAGAGGAGGUUGGUUUGCUCUGGCUCUUUCUGUUUGGCGUGCAGAGGAGGUUGUGUUGCUCUGGCUCUAUCUGUUUGGCGUGCAGAGACGGUUGUGUUGCUCUGGCUCUAUCUGUUUGGCGUGCAGAGGCGGUUGUGUUGCUCUGGCUCUACCUGUUUGGCGUAGA